GAUGAACGCUAGCGGGAGGCUUAACACAUGCAAGCCGAGGGAGAACUCACUUUCGGGUGACGGACACCGGCGGACGGGUGAGUAACGCGUAUGUAACAUACCCUUAUCAAUGGGAUAGCCCAGAGAAAUUUGGAUUAAUACCGUAUAAUAUAUUUUAUGGCUUCAUAAGAUAUUAAAAGAUUUAUCGGAUAAGGAUUGACAUGCGUCAGAUUAGGUAGAUGGUGAGGUAACGGCUCACCAUGCCGACGAUCUGUAGGGGGCCUGAGAGGGUGAACCCCCACACUGGUACUGAGACACGGACCAGACUCCUACGGGAGGCAGCAGUGAGGAAUAUUGGACAAUGGGUUAGCGCCUGAUCCAGCCAUCCCGCGUGGAGGAAGACGGUCCUAUGGAUUGUAAACUCCUUUUAUAUAAGAAGAACACCCGGUACGUGUACCGGUCUGACGGUAUUAUAUGAAUAAGCACCGGCUAACUCCG
This 477-nucleotide ribosomal RNA is filed under the name uncultured Flavobacteriales bacterium. RNAcentral describes it as "bacterial SSU rRNA". It matches the Rfam family "Bacterial small subunit ribosomal RNA", at positions 28 to 505 of the family's 1533-position model. Lineage: Bacteria; Pseudomonadati; Bacteroidota; Flavobacteriia; Flavobacteriales. The record is from RNAcentral.